Molecule: ribosomal RNA, 472 nt
Filed under: uncultured Thiomonas sp.
Lineage: Bacteria; Pseudomonadati; Pseudomonadota; Betaproteobacteria; Burkholderiales
Description: bacterial SSU rRNA
Rfam family: Bacterial small subunit ribosomal RNA
Source: RNAcentral
UACCAUGCAGUCGAACGGCAGCGCGGGGCAACCUGGCGGCGAGUGGCGAACGGGUGAGUAAUACAUCGGAACGUGCCCUGUGAUGGGGGAUAACUACGCGAAAGCGUAGCUAAUACCGCAUACGACCUAAGGGUGAAAGUGGGGGAUCGAAAGACCUCACGUCAUAGGAGCGGCCGAUGGCGGAUUAGCUAGUUGGUGAGGUAAAGGCUUACCAAGGCGACGAUCCGUAGCUGGUCUGAGAGGACGACCAGCCACACUGGGACUGAGACACGGCCCAGACUCCUACGGGAGGCAGCAGUGGGGAAUCUUGGACAAUGGGGGCAACCCUGAUCCAGCAAUGCCGCGUGUGGGAUGAAGGCCUUCGGGUUGUAAACCACUUUUGGCGGGGGCGAAAUAUCGAGUGAUAAUACCAUUCGGUGAUGACGGUACCCGCAGAAUAAGCACCGGCUAACUACGUGCCAGCAGCCCGGGG